This 443-nucleotide ribosomal RNA is filed under the name uncultured bacterium. RNAcentral describes it as "partial 16S ribosomal RNA". It matches the Rfam family "Bacterial small subunit ribosomal RNA", at positions 338 to 795 of the family's 1533-position model. The record is from RNAcentral.
CCUACGGGCGGCAGCAGUGGGGAAUAUUGGACAAUGGGGGGAACCCUGAUCCAGCGACGCCGCGUGAGUGAAGAAGUAUUUCGGUAUGUAAAGCCCUAUCAGCAGGGAAGAAAGAAAUGACGGUACCUGACUAAGAAGCCCCGGCUAACUACGUGCAAGCAGCCGCGGUAAUACGUAGGGGGCAAGCGUUAUCCGGAUUUACUGGGUGUAAAGGGAGCGUAGACGGCGAUGCAAGUCUGAAGUGAAAGGCGGGGGCCCAACCCCCGGACUGCUUUGGAAACUGUAUGGCUGGAGUGCAGGGGAGGUAAGUGGAAUUCCUGGUGUAGCGGUGAAAUGCGUAGAUAUUAGGAGGAACACCAGUGGCGAAGGCGGCUUACUGGACUGUAACUGACGUUGAGGCUCGAAAGCGUGGGGAGCAAACAGGAUUAGAUACCCCUGUAGUC